RNAcentral lists this unclassified non-coding RNA (204 nucleotides) under uncultured Agaricaceae. RNAcentral describes it as "sequence contains ITS2". The record is from RNAcentral. Lineage: Eukaryota; Fungi; Basidiomycota; Agaricomycetes; Agaricales; Agaricaceae.
AAUUCUCAAUCCUCUUCAGUUUUGUCUGAUGAGCUUUGGAUAUGGAGGGUUGCAGGCCUUGUAAAUAGGUCAGCUCCUCUGAAAAGCAUUAGUGGAACCGUUUGCAGUUGUCCACAGGUGUGAUAAUUAUCUACGCCAUCGGGGACUGCUCUCUGUUGUUGUUCUGCUUCUAACCGUCCAGCAGGACAGACUUCAUUACUGAAC